CUCUCAGUCUCACCCAUUGUCCCUUUCCCUCUACUAACCCACCCACCUUUCAAGCCUCUUGAUUUUGUCUCCCAAAACCAUGGGUCUUAUUCUUCCCAAUCAAAAAUCUCAGUUAAAUGCAUUAAAAAAAGGUUUUGAUCUUAAUUUUUUUUUCUACUUUAACAAGUUUUUAGAUCCACAAAAUUAAGGGUCUCGAAAGGUGGGUGAAAG
This 210-nucleotide long non-coding RNA is filed under the name Gossypium barbadense (sea-island cotton). RNAcentral describes it as "long non-coding RNA (GBAR_LNC011315)". The record is from RNAcentral. Lineage: Eukaryota; Viridiplantae; Streptophyta; Magnoliopsida; Malvales; Malvaceae.